CAAUAGCGUAUAUUUAAGUUGCUGCAGUUAAAAAGCUCGUAGUUGGAUUUCGGGUGGGAAUGGCCGGUCCCCCGUUUCGGUGUGCACUUGCUACGCCCACCUUGCUGCCGGGGACGUGCUCUUGAGUUCACGCUCGGGACACGGAGUCGGCGAGGUUACUUUGAGUAAAUUAGAGUGUUCAAAGCAGGCCUACGCUCUGAAUACAUUAGCAUGGAAUAACACGAUAGGACUCUGGCCUAUCUUGUUGGUCUGUAGGACCGGAGUAAUGAUUAAGAGGGACAGUCGGGGGCAUUCGUAUUUCAUUGUCAGAGGUGAAAUUCUUGGAUUUAUGAAAGACGAACUACUGCGAAAGCAUUUGCCAAGGAUGUUUUCAUUAA
Molecule: ribosomal RNA, 377 nt
Filed under: uncultured eukaryote
Lineage: Eukaryota
Description: partial 18S ribosomal RNA
Rfam family: Eukaryotic small subunit ribosomal RNA
Source: RNAcentral